This is a non-coding RNA of Yersinia ruckeri, 126 nucleotides long. The record is from Rfam. Lineage: Bacteria; Pseudomonadati; Pseudomonadota; Gammaproteobacteria; Enterobacterales; Yersiniaceae.
AUUUAUACCCAAUAGAUUUCAAGGCGUAGGAAGGCGGUGAACGAGAGUAGCCAACACAUCUACAAUUUGAAAGCUGACGGGUUGUUGCCGUGGAAACUUUUGGCCCAUCUUACGAUGGGCUUUUUU